RNAcentral lists this ribosomal RNA (305 nucleotides) under uncultured bacterium. RNAcentral's name for it is "partial 16S ribosomal RNA". It matches the Rfam family "Bacterial small subunit ribosomal RNA", at positions 505 to 809 of the family's 1533-position model. The record is from RNAcentral.
ACAGCAGCAGCCGCGGUAAUACGUAGGUGGCAAGCGUUGUCCGGAAUUAUUGGGCGUAAAGGGCUCGCAGGCGGUUUCUUAAGUCUGAUGUGAAAGCCCCCGGCUCAACCGGGGAGGGUCAUUGGAAACUGGGAAACUCGAGUGCAGAAGAGGAGAGUGGAAUUCCACGUGUAGCGGUGAAAUGCGUAGAGAUGUGGAGGAACACCAGUGGCGAAGGCGACUCUCUGGUCUGUAACUGACGCUGUGGAGCGAAAGCGUGGGGAGCGAACAGGAUUAGAUACCCCGGUAGUCCCUGUCUCUUAUAU